Molecule: ribosomal RNA, 773 nt
Filed under: uncultured Neocallimastigales
Lineage: Eukaryota; Fungi; Neocallimastigomycota; Neocallimastigomycetes; Neocallimastigales
Description: partial large subunit ribosomal RNA
Rfam family: Eukaryotic large subunit ribosomal RNA
Source: RNAcentral
AUAUCAGUCAUGCAUAGCAUAUCAAUAAGCGGAGGAAAAGAAACUAACAAGGAUUCCCUUAGUAACGGCGAGUGAAGCGGGAAGAGCUCAAAUUUGAAAUCUUCAAGGUUUUACCUUGACGAAUUGUAGUUUAAAGAAGUGUUUUCUGUUGGAGUUUUGGUAAAAGUUCUUUGGAAUAGGACAUCAUAGAGGGUGAGAAUCCCGUAUUUGACCAUUAUUUCCAGCUGUGUGAUACACUUUCAAAGAGUCGGAUUGUUUGGAGAAUGCAGUCCAAAAUGGGUGGUAAAUUUCAUCUAAAGCUAAAUAUUGGCGAGAGACCGAUAGCGAACAAGUACCGUGAGGGAAAGAUGAAAAGAACUUUGAAAAGAGAGUUAAACAGUACGUGAAAUUGUCAAAAGGGAAGCGUUUGACACCAGUGUUGUUUUUCCGAAAAUCAAUUACGAAUGUUUUAUUUUUGAGAAGUUAUGACUUCAUCGGCUUGCUUCUCUCUUUAUGAAACUUUCUUAAUGCACUUUUCGGUUAACAAGUCAACAUCAAUUUCUUUGUUGUAAAAGGGUAUGAGGAAGGUGGCUUUCUUUUCGGAGAAAGUGUUUAUAGCCUUGUACCUCUGCAAUCGGAGAGAUUGAGGUCUGCAGCGUAGAUCCUUCGGGGUUAGAUACAUUUGUGCUAAGUUAUAGCUUUUCAUAGACAACUUGUUGACUAUGUUUAGUCUUGUAGCUUACUCGCUGACGCUAUUUUACCUACGCUUAGGAUGUUGAUGUGAUACUGCGAGC